Molecule: unclassified non-coding RNA, 329 nt
Filed under: soil metagenome
Description: partial contains 5.8S ribosomal RNA, internal transcribed spacer 2, and large subunit ribosomal RNA
Rfam family: 5.8S ribosomal RNA (bases 1-120)
Source: RNAcentral
GAUGAAGAACGCAGCGAAAUGCGAUAAGUAAUGUGAAUUGCAGAAUUCAGUGAAUCAUCGAAUCUUUGAACGCACAUUGCGCCCUCUGGUAUUCCGGGGGGCAUGCCUGUUCGAGCGUCAUUAUAACCACUCAAACUCUCGCUUGGUAUUGGGGUUCGCGGUUUCGCGGCCCCUAAAAUCAGUGGCGGUGCCUGUCGGCUCUACGCGUAGUAAUACUUCUCGCGAUUGAGUUCGAUAGGUCUACUUGCCAGUAACCCCCAAUUUUUACAGGUUGACCUCGGAUCAGGUAGGGAUACCCGCUGAACUUAAGCAUAUCAAUAAGCGGAGGA